CGGAAGGUGACUGAGCGGUUGAAAGCGGCGGACUGUAAAUCCGUUUCCCCUAGUGAUGACUCGGUGGUUCAAAUCCAUCCCUUCCGA
Molecule: transfer RNA, 87 nt
Filed under: Caudoviricetes sp.
Lineage: Duplodnaviria; Heunggongvirae; Uroviricota; Caudoviricetes
Description: tRNA-Tyr
Rfam family: tRNA
About the family: Transfer RNA (tRNA) molecules are approximately 80 nucleotides in length.
Source: RNAcentral